UGCAUAUCUGGAAAUCAAUGACAUAGCUGGGCUUGUUAGAGGAGCAAGUGCAGGGGAGGGUCUGGGCAAUGCCUUCUUAUCCCAUAUACGUGCUGUUGAUGGAAUCUUUCAUGUCUUGAGUAUGUCUCUAUUGUAAAAUGUUUAUGAUUCAACUACUGAAUUAUGCUUCUUAAUAAAGUUCCCUUGGCUAUUCUUAUCUGUAUUAUAUACUGUAUGUUAAAAGUGAAAAUUUUGGAUAUCUUGGUGGAGAUCUAACUGAGAAGACUAAAUGUUGGCAUUGCAAAUAUUGGCAAUACCAAGACUUGCCAAAUAUUGGCAACUUUAUGUUUGAUAGACAAGAAAACUUGGUAACCAACUAAUCAGUAAUCAAUAUUUGGCACAAUGCCAAACAUUGGCAUGCCAAUUUUUGGCACCAAACCAGUUACGCUCUAGGUUUUAAUGUGAUAGAAUCUUUUGCUGUAUCUGUAACUGAUAGUGUGGUAUGGUUUUAGGAGCAUUUGAAGACACGGAAAUCACUCAUAUUGAUGAUACAGUUGAUCCUGUUCGUGAUUUGGAAACUAUUAGUCAAGAACUGAGGCUCAAGGUUUCGUUUGAGUUUUGCUUGAUUUGUUCGUCAACUUAAACAACUGUUAACCUAGCUGUAACAAGGUUUUCUGUUGCACUUCCUUCUGUAGGAUAUAGAGUUUGUGCAGGCUAAAAUUGAUGACCUUGAGAAGUCAAUGAAGAGGAGCAAUGACAAGCAACUUAAGAUAGACCAUGAAUUAUGUCAGAGGGUAGGGCAUGUUUUACAGCUCUGCUGUUUUGCACUUUUGUUUCAUUUCUAUCAAUCAGUUAGAUCUCAUGAACAAUUGGAAUUUCUUUACUGGUAUAUCGUUCUUUAUUCGGUAGAUCGAUCGGUAAUUUAGUUUCAACUUUCCCUUAUAACAGGUCAUGGCACAUCUCCAAGACGGGAAAGACGUACGUUUAGGAGAAUGGAAAGCUGCUGAAAUUGAGAUCUUGAAUGCCUUUCAGCUGCUUACUGCGAAGCCAGUUGUUUAUUUGGUAAUUUUUACUUAUUUGGAUUGGAAGAAUGGUAUCAUCUGAUUAAUAUGUACAGGCUUUGUUGCUUGAACUUUUUAUUAGCAAUGACAUCAUUUGAUUAAUUAUAGUUACAUGCUUGUUGCUUGAACUUCUUUACCAGCAUGGCCAUCUAGAAUUUAGUAUUUCCCCAUAUUUAAUGCGGAAUUUCAACCAAUGUGAUGUUUCUUAGGGUUCAAUCAAUGUGACAUUAACCCAGCUUUGCUUGUUUUGUCUGUUUUGUUAUUGCUGUCUGUCUACUUCUGCUUUCCAACAUUUAUUUUAAAACAUUACAGAACUGACGUGCGACUGGUAAUCGAUCUGCCAUACUCUUGGUAUUUGUAUAAUUAGCAAGAAGUGCAUGCUCCGUAGACAAUUAACUGAUUUUAGUCUGAUCACUGGAAACAUAACUACAAAAACUAUUGCAUGCUUCUUGGUAUUGCAUUAGAGUGGGGGAGCCUUUAUAGUUCCACAUGCCAAUUGUAUUCCACUGUAAGGCACUGCAAUUCUGUACUCCCUCCUUUCCUAAAUAUAAGUCUUUUUAGAGAUUCAACGCGGACUACAUACGGAGCAAAAUGAGUGAAUCUGCACUCUAAAAUAUGUCUAUAUACAUCAUAUGUAGUCCUUAUUGAAAUCUCUAAAAGGACUUAUAUUUAGGAACGGAGGGAGUAAUAGUUGAAGCAAUUGUUAAAGUUGCACCUCCAUGCGUGAGCAAGAACCAAAGUAUGCAAAGAGGUGCCAAAAUCCCAAGAUAUAUGAUGUUUCCAUAUGGAUUCUUCAUUCUUCCCUUUUUUGGGUUCAAAAGCCACAUCAGGAUCCCUAAUAGGAAUAUAGGGAUGGUGUGCUGUAGAAAGGGCUUGUGAAGAUUAGACAUUACUCACCGGUUGGCGAUGGAAAUGAAAUGGGAUGCAUUAAUCCUACUUGGAGAACCUACUGAUUUACGCGUUAUAUGAUGGUACAUAUACCUGCUGUGCAUGCAUCACUUGAAACUAAAUUUAUAUUAGCAGCAAGAGGAAAUAUGUCUUUGAUGUCUGGAAUUAUCCCACGUUCAGCUUGAGUAAUCAUGCGAAAUGGACAUUAAUCGCUCUGCUAACUUUAGCUCAUUUACUGGUUAAUCCUUUGAUUUGACCUUACUUCUGUCAGUAGUUGAAACAGAAAUUCACCUUUUCUUUAUAGGGCUUCUAAGUCUAGUAUGUUAUUUUGUGCAGGUGAACAUGAGUAAAAAGGACUACCUGAGGAAAAAGAACAAGUUUCUACCAAAGAUACAUGCUUGGUAUUGUUUCUACCCCAAGUCUAAUGGCUAUAGCAGAUGAACUCAUGCUAUACAGAAUGCAGUUCAAACUGCGAAUGCCGAUUUUCUGUGGAACUUCUGUUUAUGUACAGUCUAAUUGAUGUAGCAGGAUAGGUCAUUUUGAAGCUAGAUCGUUUCAAGUUUCCAUCAUUAUAUCUUGUUGUAUAUGAUAUUUGUUCCAACUUUGCUUGUUGAGUACAUAAGCUAUCUGAUUUAACACAUUGGGUUUAUUAUUUAAAAAUUGUUGUCACAGAGAGAACCAAUGUUUACGCUUGGACUUGGUGAUUUCUGUAUUUGAGGGUAGAAUAUCACACAAUUUGUUGAUCGCUUACAUAUGAAUACCAGCAAAUGUCAUUGGCAGUGAGUCAGGUCCCAGUGGUAUGUGUCAGCACUCGGCGCUAAGGAGUACUGUCAGCACUAAGCAGGAGUUUCUAUUCACGUGAACUAUACCCACUUGAACAAGAUAAGGACAGUAGGUCUUUUAGUUACAAAGUAUAUCUGUUUAGUUAGGAAAGGAGAUCAGUUUAGUUUGGAAGAUAAAUAUAUCGUUUUGAUUAGGAAAGUUGUGAUAUAUGCUUUCAGCAUCAAUUGAAGUCUUUCCUAUAAUAGGGGCACGACCAUAUCAAUUAAGCAUUGAACGAGAGGUUCGGUGAAGAUCUGAUCACCACCCUCAAACUUCCCUCCCUCACCGCUCGUACUCACCGUCUCAGUCCUAGAACCGACCCACCAUGAUACUGAUUGUAUUUUCUGAAGUAUGCUAUAGGCUCUUGUCCGCAGUAAGAAAUUGAUAUGUAGUUCAUAUGGUUGUGAUUUUGAUUAAGUCUGAUGAUUUUGUGUUUGAUUAGCAUAAACUUAAUAUGCAUAAUUUCCUACAAGAAGGGGGUAUUGGAAUAUUAGCUAAUACCUAACUAUUUCUUAUUCAGGGUGAAAGAACACGGUGGUGAGACUAUUAUUCCUUUCAGCUGUGCCUUCGAACAGAAACUAGUGGAUAUGCCAGAAGAUGAAGCUGCUAAAUAUUGCGCCGAAAACCAGACAGCAAGGCAAGUCAUGUAGCAUAAUUUUGGCUGAGUUGAUUACCACAAUUAAGAUACUACUUUUGUACCGAAAUAUAAGACGUUUUUGUAGUCUAAACUAGCAAUCAAGUUUAUUUAUUUAUAACAUGCAUUGCAUCUUCUCUUUGCAUAUUGCUCAACUUUUUCUGUUUAAUUUAUUUAUACUAAAUCUUUCACCAAUGUGAACAGUUUGAUCCCCAAAAUCAUCAAGACUGGUUUUGCAGCAAUUCAUCUCAUAUACUUCUUCACAGCUGGUCACGACGAGGUACAUUUUAUAUGUUUACAUUGUGCUUACUUUGUACCAGUAAUAUGUGUUGUAUAAGCCACAUUUUACUUCAUUUUGCUAAAAUGGUGGUACUACAUCAGCCUGUUACAUUUUUGGCGUGCAAAAUUCACAUGCUUGUUUGUUUAUACAUUAUCAGUCUUUAUUGGUUAUUGCCUCUGCUCCAAAAUAAGGGGCACAAUCAAACUUCUAACUUCCACAAUCAAUAUGUAAAGAAUUUAAUGAGAUUUGACAAAUGGAAAUAAUAUCAUUUUUUUCGUAAUUCUGUUUUUUACUAACACAUCAAUAAUAAUGGUCAAAAUUGCAUCUUGUUGGCUGGUUAUGUUCUAAUCGGGGAGGAAUGUAUUAGGUUGUUCAGAUGUCUGUUCGUGUUUGAAGUUUCAAGUAGGAGUUUCUGAAUACAUUUGACAAUUUUCUGCUAGCUUAUAAGCUUGAAUUCUCCUUUCAGGUGAAGUGCUGGCAGAUCAGACGUCAAUCUAAAGCUCCGCAAGCUGCUGGUGCAAUUCACACUGAUUUUGAAAGAGGCUUCAUAUGUGCUGAGGUAGAGUCCUUUCUGAAAUAGCUAGACACAAUUCCUUUAUUUGGAAUAAAUUGAACUUUAGUUGACAGUGUAGUUAAUUGUUGCUGUUCUUACUAUUUGCAUUUUGUAGUUAAUUGUUGCAUGUUUUUCUGAAAAAAUCUCGAUGUUUACUGAAGCUUCUUUCAUUAUGUUAACUUGAUGUAUUCCUUGAUAAUUCUUAUAUAUAAAUCUACUCUUUUUGAUCAGGUAAUGAAGUUUGAAGAUCUAAAAGAGCUGGGCAGUGAAUCUGCUGUCAAGGUGUGCACAAACUCGUCUAUGCUAGAUGAUUUGUAUCAUCAGUUGCCUUACUUUUGAUCUUUAAACUCAAUGUUAUGAGUUACGCAACCGUUUGGCAUUGAUGGAUUGUAGGCUGCUGGGAAGUACAGGCAGGAAGGGAAGACGUACGUGGUGCAGGAUGGAGACAUCAUCUUCUUCAAGUUCAAUGUUUCUGGAGGCGGAAAGAAGUGAUGAAUUCAUCACAGGGUCGUGUAUUUUAGCAUUUUUGGGUUCACUUGCAAGUAGCCAGGUACUAUCAGUACUGAUUGCAGACUGCGGGGAGACUAUAAGCACCAACUGGAAGGGAUGAAAAAUAUAAUUUUUCAUUCGUGAGCUAGAACUGCUCUGCUCUAUCGGAAAACUGGAAGUUGUAACGGUGUGACUGGACAACUUUGUCGUAAUUAGGAUGCAAAGUUCUUUGUUAUGCAAUUCUACCGUUGUUGCAUGUGUAGCUCCAU
This 4975-nucleotide long non-coding RNA is filed under the name Triticum aestivum (bread wheat). RNAcentral describes it as "long non-coding RNA (TAES_LNC027848)". Lineage: Eukaryota; Viridiplantae; Streptophyta; Magnoliopsida; Poales; Poaceae. The record is from RNAcentral.